AGUGGACGCUGGCGGUAGGCCUAACACAUGCAAGUCGAACGGCAGCACAGGAGAGCUUGCUCUCUGGGUGGCGAGUGGCGGACGGGUGAGGAAUACAUCGGAAUCUACUUUUUCGUGGGGGAUAACGUAGGGAAACUUACGCUAAUACCGCAUACGACCUACGGGUGAAAGCAGGGGACCUUCGGGCCUUGCGCGAUUGAAUGAGCCGAUGUCGGAUUAGCUAGUUGGCGGGGUAAAGGCCCACCAAGGCGACGAUCCGUAGCUGGUCUGAGAGGAUGAUCAGCCACACUGGAACUGAGACACGGUCCAGACUCCUACGGGAGGCAGCAGUGGGGUAUAUUGGACAAUGGGCGCAAGCCUGAUCCAGCCAUACCGCGUGGGUGAAGAAGGCCUUCGGGUUGUAAAGCCCUUUUGUUGGGAAAGAAAUCCAGCUGGCUAAUACCCGGUUGGGAUGACGGUACCCAAAGAAUAAGCACCGGCUAACUUCGUGCCAGCAGCCGCCGUAA
RNAcentral lists this ribosomal RNA (506 nucleotides) under uncultured bacterium. RNAcentral's name for it is "partial 16S ribosomal RNA". It matches the Rfam family "Bacterial small subunit ribosomal RNA", at positions 29 to 523 of the family's 1533-position model. The record is from RNAcentral.